CUUCAUCGACGCCGAUUGAACUGCUGAAACGAACCCCUGGGAAAAGAGAGAGAAGAAAUGAAGAGUACCUGCCUUUUUUUUUUUUUUUGCCACAAACGGCACAGAGGAAAUGUAGGCAAGGCUUUGACUCCUCUGGAACAGCAGCAUCCAGUCACAAUAGGUGAUCAGAGAUCAUUCAGCUGGGCUCGUUCCUCCAGACAACCACGGAAUGGAAAACAACCUCCCAACCACCAGCCGUCCUACAGACACGGGACGGCUUUGGGGAGCACCUCUGGGAGGCGACAGGAGGUUGGGCCCCCUCGGGAACAACCGUGACCGCUAUGGGGCACGUUUGGGGUGCGUUACACCCUCGGUGAGCACAUGGCAUUUAGGACAGGGACUCAAAGGCACACGGGGACGGCCACGAGCCACACGCUGACAUCCAGAGGGGGCUGCAGGUGGGGUGAACCAAAAGGGAGGCCCUUUGGGACAGAGACCGCGGCUCCCUCACCCCCUUUGCAGGGCAGGUGGUGCUGGCUGUGCUGUGCCCGCCAGCCCUGCACCACUUCCCAGGUGCCACCGUCCCGGCGCAGGGGGAAGGCCACCUCCAGCACAUAGCUGCAGCUCCGGAUGGUCUCCAGGAGCCCGCGCAGCCAGGACAGCCCUCCCGGCCUCCCCGCCGCCGACUGCAGCGCCAGGCUGGCCGCCCGCCCGUAGAAAGUCUCCACCAUGGCCAGCAGCCCGGGGGAGUCGGGGCUGCCCCCUGCCAGGCUCCCCCCGGCCCGGCACUGCCCCAGCACCGCUCCGGCACCACCACGGCCCCGCAGCCUCCCUGCUGCCCUCCACAUGGCUGCCCCACCGCCCUCAAAAUGGCCGCCCUGCCGCCGCCAUUUUGAUGGCCAGCCGCGUGGCGUGAGCGUCGUGGAGCCGAGGCAGCGGGCAGGCAGCACUGUUUUGAGGGCUUUUGAGGUGUUUUUUGCACCUCCCAGGAGCGUUCGUGCUACCCCAAGGCAUCUGUGGCUCUGCUACCCCACAGCGGGUGCUGCCCACCGGGACGCAGCCUGGCUUGGGGAGGGGGCUUCGUGCAGCCCUACACCCGUAGCCCACAUUUACCCCGGUACUGGGGGCACCCCCUGUCAGCUCCCCGGGGCUGUGGGUGCCGGGUGCGGGUUUGGCUGGCGUGGGUGCGCCUGGCGCGUUCACGUGGCGCUGCCCGUGCACGCGUGGGAGGCAGGCCGUGGUGCGGAGGGAGGGGGCUGCCACGCUACCUGCGCCCGCGGCCCCCUCCCCGCGGGGAGGAUGCGCUUUUCAGGCAGCUGCCUGGCUCCUCGCGAGCCGGGGGAGCGCGGGAGUGCGUUGCCAAGGCAAUGGGGACCAUCUUACUCAUCCUCCUCGCUAUUGUUAUCCUGCCAGCCCGGAGCAUUCGGGGUUUUGUUCCAGCCUCGCUGUUUACUGGAAGGAGCAUUUCCACCGCCAACCUCCCCUGUCUCCAGGCAACCAGGUGUGCCAGCUCCCAUCGCGCCGGCGCUGCAACACCCUAUAGAUCUAUAG
Molecule: long non-coding RNA, 1530 nt
Filed under: Anas zonorhyncha (Eastern spot-billed duck)
Lineage: Eukaryota; Metazoa; Chordata; Aves; Anseriformes; Anatidae
Description: lncRNA (ENSAZOG00000013576.1)
Source: RNAcentral